RNAcentral lists this small nuclear RNA (192 nucleotides) under Dasypus novemcinctus (nine-banded armadillo). Its description in RNAcentral is "U2 spliceosomal RNA (ENSDNOG00000039096.1)". It matches the Rfam family "U2 spliceosomal RNA". From Rfam's summary of the family: U2 is a small nuclear RNA (snRNA) component of the spliceosome (involved in pre-mRNA splicing). Complementary binding between U2 snRNA (in an area lying towards the 5' end but 3' to hairpin I) and the branchpoint sequence (BPS) of the intron results the bulging out of an unpaired adenosine, on the BPS, which initiates a nucleophilic attack at the intronic 5' splice site, thus starting the first of two transesterification reactions that mediate splicing. Lineage: Eukaryota; Metazoa; Chordata; Mammalia; Cingulata; Dasypodidae. The record is from RNAcentral.
GUUGCUUCUCAGCCUUUUGACUAAGAUCAAGGGGUAGUAUCUGUUCUAAUCCGUUUAAUAUCUGAUAUGUCCUCUAUCUAAGGACAGCGUAUUAAAUUGAUUUUUGCAACAGGGAGGUGGAAAAGGGGCUUGCCCCAUCUACUCCAAGCAUCAACCUGGCAUUGCCGUACUUCCAGAAAUGGUGCACCCUUC